CCUACGGGAGGCAGCAGUAGGGAAUCUUCCGCAAUGGACGAAAGUCUGACGGAGCAACGCCGCGUGAACGAUGAAGGCCUUCGGGUCGUAAAGUUCUGUUGUUAGGGAAGAACAAGUGCUAGUUGAAUAAGCUGGCACCUUGACGGUACCUAACCAGAAAGCCACGGCUAACUACGUGCCAGCAGCCGCGGUAAUACGUAGGUGGCAAGCGUUGUCCGGAAUUAUUGGGCGUAAAGCGCGCGCAGGCGGUUUCUUAAGUCUGAUGUGAAAGCCCCCGGGCUCAACCGGGGAGGGUCAUUGGAAACUGGGAAACUUGAGUGCAGAAGAGGAAAGUGGAAUUCCAAGUGUAGCGGUGAAAUGCGUAGAGAUUUGGAGGAACACCAGUGGCGAAGGCGACUUUCUGGUCUGUAACUGACGCUGAGGCGCGAAAGCGUGGGGAGCAAACAGGAUUAGAUACCCUGGUAGUCCACGCUGUAAACGAUGAGUGCUAAGUGUUAGAGGGUUUCCGCCCUUUAGUGCUGAAGUUAACGCAUUAAGCACUCCGCCUGGGGAUACGGUCGCAAGACUGAAACUCAAAGGAUUGACGGNNGAGCGNGCGAGCGACGACGAGGGAGAGG
RNAcentral lists this ribosomal RNA (617 nucleotides) under uncultured bacterium. RNAcentral describes it as "bacterial SSU rRNA". It matches the Rfam family "Bacterial small subunit ribosomal RNA", at positions 338 to 946 of the family's 1533-position model. The record is from RNAcentral.